CAACACUGGGAUAACUCCGGGAAACCGGGGCUAAUACCGGAUAUGAAAUCUGCGGGCAUCCGCGGAUUUGGAAAGUUUUUCGGUUGAAGAUGAUCUCGCGGCCUAUCAGCUUGUUGGUGAGGUAAUGGCUCACCAAGGCGACGACGGGUAGCCGGCCUGAGAGGGCGACCGGCCACACUGGGACUGAGACACGGCCCAGACUCCUACGGGAGGCAGCAGUGGGGAAUAUUGGGCAAUGGAGGAAACUCUGACCCAGCGACGCCGCGUGCGGGAUGAAGGCCUUCGGGUUGUAAACCGCUUUCAGCAGGGAAGAAGCGAAAGUGACGGUACCUGCAGAAGAAGCACCGGCUAACUAUGUGCCAGCAGCCGCGGUAAUACAUAGGGUGCAAGCGUUGUCCGGAAUUAUUGGGCGUAAAGAGCUCGUAGGUGGUUCGUCACGUCGGAUGUGAAACUCUGGGGCUUAACCCCAGACCUGCAUUCGAUACGGGCGAGCUUGAGUAUGGUAGGGGAGUCUGGAAUUCCUGGUGUAGCGGUGGAAUGCGCAGAUAUCAGGAGGAACACCAAUGGCGAAGGCAGGACUCUGGGCCAUUACUGACACUGAGGAGCGAAAGCGUGGGGAGCGAACAGGAUUAGAUACCCUGGUAGUCCACGCCGUAAACGGUGGGCACUAGUUGUGGGGACCUUCCACGGUCUCUGCGACGCAGCUAACGCAUUAAGUGCCCCGCCUGGGGAGUACGAUCGCAAGAUUAAAACUCAAAGGAAAUUACGGGGCCCCGCACAAGCAGCGGAGCAUGCGGCUUUAUUCGACGCAACGCGAAGAACCUUACCAAGGCUUGACAUAUACAGGAAU
RNAcentral lists this ribosomal RNA (850 nucleotides) under uncultured Actinomycetes bacterium. RNAcentral describes it as "bacterial SSU rRNA". It matches the Rfam family "Bacterial small subunit ribosomal RNA", at positions 133 to 997 of the family's 1533-position model. The record is from RNAcentral. Lineage: Bacteria; Bacillati; Actinomycetota; Actinomycetes.